AUCCAAACAUUCAAUGUGCAAGAUGAAAAUUUUUGCCAGGGAUCUGUGACCUAGAUAUAUGUAACCUUGCACACACUUCCGAAUACGUUCGAGGAAGCUGCACCAUAUGAAUCAACGCGUUAUUAAUACGUAAUCAGCAAGUCUUAGGGCAUGUUUAGAUGGCAAACAAAAAUUACCCCAACAUAUCGUAUCGGAUGUACAAACACACAUUUAAAAUAUUAAACGUAGUGUAAUAAUAAAAUUUUGCCUAUAAACUGCGAGACGAAUUUAUUAAGCCUAAUUAACUUGUCAUUAGUAAAUGUUUACGGUAGCACCACAUUUUUUAUCAAAUAAUGACGCAAUUAGGCUUAAAAGAUUCGUCUUGCAAUUUACUGGCGAACUAUGUAAUUAUUUUUUUCUACAUUUAAUACUUCAUGCAUGUAUCUGAACAUUCAAUGUGACAGCGUGAAAAAUUUUAUUUGGGAAUUAAACAUAUCCUUAAUCAUCAGCACUUCAUCAAUAUAAAAGAACAACCCAGCGUCGACUAAUCCACUACACACCACGUGAUUUCCUCUCCCAAAUCCACCAACCGUCCUCCGGUCUCUCCUGUUCUUCGCUCGAUCCUCCAAUUUCCUCUCCCAAAUCAUCUCGAGUAGUAAUCAGUGUAUUUUGUUGCUUAUUUCGAUCGAUCUCAUCCCAACCUGUUCGAUCGUCGCCUCCGCCGAGUUUUGCUGCUCGAUCGGAUCGGUCAAAGCAGCACACCGGCCCGGCAAGCCAUGGAGCUGACGCUGCUGGUGUUCGUCCUCGUCGCGGCCUUCUCCUUCGUGAUCGGCACGGCCGUCACCACGGCGCCGGCGCCGCCAUGGCCAGCGGCGGCCUUCGCCGCCUACCUCUUCUGGGUCGUCGCCUCCGCCGCCGUCGCCCUGUUCGUCCGCCGCCCCGCCGCGUGAACACACACACCCUCACCAACUCCGGCCGGCCAAACUCAACUCGGAUCGAGAUCCAGCAAAGGGAUCCACCACAAGCGGCGCGCGGCAGCCGGCCGGUCGAUCGAUAACCAUUAUAUAUAUUCAUUUGGAAUGAUUACUAAUGCUGCAGGUCAAUAUAUAUCAAGAUGCUGUGUUAUAUUUGGUGAAUAUAUUGCGAGUUCUUCGUCAGGGAGAGACGGACAAUCAAAUUGUCGUCUCGUCUUUUCGAUCAAAGUGGAGGUGCUGGUGGAUCAUAGUUAAAUUCGCAAGUCUGCGCAUUCAUGAAUGCCUGAAAAAUCGAAAAGAGGAAAUAUUUAUUAUCUUAGAAUGUUAUAUGCAUGUAAAUUUGGAUGUUGUGAUUAUCUCGGCAUCUUAUAAGAGUGGAUAAAAAAUAUUUAUAUACAGUACAGUACAUGUUGCUUGGCUAUUUGUGGAUUUACGAUUGCUUGUGGUUAGUGUUUUUUUAAAUAGAAAUUGUUGUAUUGUUUUCGAGUUAAUUGGCUAUUGUGGUUUUUGUAAAGAAAUGGGGUACAUGUAUCUUUUAUUCUUUUUUUUAA
Oryza sativa Japonica Group (Japanese rice) is the source of this 1504-nucleotide long non-coding RNA. RefSeq lists it as uncharacterized. NCBI's taxonomy places the organism in Eukaryota, Viridiplantae, Streptophyta, Magnoliopsida, Poales, Poaceae. The record is from RefSeq and is a predicted model, not a curated record.